GACGAACGCUGGCGGCGUGCCUAAAACAUGCAAGUAGGACGCUGAAGGAGGAGCUUGCUUCUCUGGAUGAGUUGCGAACGGGUGAGUAACGCGUAGGUAACCUGCCUGGUAGCGGGGGAUAACUAUUGGAAACGAUAGCUAAUACCGCAUAAUAGUAGAUGUUGCAUGACAUUUGCUUAAAAGGUGCAAUUGCAUCACUACCAGAUGGACCUGCGUUGUAUUAGCUAGUUGGUGGGGUAACGGCUCACCAAGGCGACGAUACAUAGCCGACCUGAGAGGGUGAUCGGCCACACUGGGACUGAGACACGGCCCAGACUCCUACGGGAGGCAGCAGUAGGGAAUCUUCGGCAAUGGACGGAAGUCUGACCGAGCAACGCCGCGUGAGUGAAGAAGGUUUUCGGAUCGUAAAGCUCUGUUGUAAGAGAAGAACGAGUGUGAGAGUGGAAAGUUCACACUGUGACGGUAUCUUACCAGAAAGGGACGGCUAACUACGUG
Molecule: ribosomal RNA, 495 nt
Filed under: uncultured bacterium
Lineage: Bacteria
Description: partial 16S ribosomal RNA
Rfam family: Bacterial small subunit ribosomal RNA
Source: RNAcentral